This 65-nucleotide transfer RNA is filed under the name Carbula sinica. Its description in RNAcentral is "tRNA-Pro". RNAcentral also lists the same sequence under 1 other name. Lineage: Eukaryota; Metazoa; Arthropoda; Insecta; Hemiptera; Pentatomidae. The record is from RNAcentral.
CAGUAAAUAGUUUAAUUAAAAUAUUAAUUUUGGAGAUUAAAGAUGAGUUUUUUACUUUUUACUGA